AAAUAGGUCAGUUGCUAGCUAGUUUUGCCUUACCCUUUGGGUGUGAUUUUUAAAAUUAGAGUGGUGGCAAUACAGUAAAUGCUGAACUUGAGUCAUAUGUGAACAUAUUCUACAGGUAAAUAUUGGCCUAUGUAUUUUUAUGUUUUUAGGUAUGUUUUUUUUUAACCUAUUCUGAUCUUAUAGCCAUCAUUACCAUUAUUAGAAUUAUGCAAAUAAUUGCAUUAUAAACAUGUUUAUAACUUAGCCAAAUGUUGAUUUUUAUAACUGUCAAAGACAUGAGUUGAAAUUUCUUAUGUGUCUUUUGAUAAAAUGCAGUAUUGUUUAAGUGUAUCUUGUCUUUUUGUUCAUUGCUACAAUUUAAGAACUUUAUUUAAAAGCAAUUUGGAAGAUUACUUGGUACGGCUGUUGGAACUGUAGCCACAUGGUCAAUAAGUAAAGUACAUGACCUUGAUUUCAUGUUUUCUGUGCAUUUUGGCCAAUCCAAAGUACUGUAUUUUCAUUGACUAUAAAGCUUCCUUUGCAAUAUUCAUUCUCCUUACAUAGUCCCUUGUUGUGAUUAUACUUCUUAAAAGACUCACUAUGAACUUUACCCACAUCUUAAAAUCUAGAAUAUUCUGAACAAUUCCAGUCUUCCUGCAUCCAACUGAAAUGUUGUAAAAUAUGACAAACAUGUGGACAGAUUCAGUGCAAUUCUCAUAAUGCACUUUGAUACAGUAUAUGAAUUAUCUUCUAGUAAUUAAAAUGUGUCCCAAUAAAUAUGCCCAUCAUUUGUGGGUCUUCUACUGAUAUCUAAUUUAUGAAGAGGUCAUUCAACUUUUAUACCAAGCAGACAAAAAGGUGUGACAGAGCAUCUCUGCUGAGGCCUGGGAGAAAAGAACUGUGGUUUGGUUUAUUACUUCUAUCUUAGUAAAUCAAGACUGUCAUUAGGGUUUUUAAGUUUUCAUCUUAGUUCUUCAAGACUUGUUUAAUAUGGACCAGUUUUUAUGGAAACUGCAAAAACCAUAAAUAACCACGAUCUGUAAACAAUUUUCCUCUUAAAAAACUUAGCAUUAUACUUUCCAGCAUAUGGAAAACAGCUAAAUACAUAUGUUAAUUCCAUAUACUUAGUAACUUCUUAAGAUAUUCUGGUACAUAUUUUAGUAUAGAAGACUAUCAAGUACAAGAAUUAUAUUCUGCUACUUGAGACAAUGUCAAUUAUAAACCUAAAUAAUUAAAGGUUAAGGUAAUAGCUAGAAUCAAGUUUUACUUUGACCAAUUUUAGUAGGUUACUUUUUAUGUUAGAUCCACAAGUAACCUUAAAUUAAAAUACUGAAAAAGAACUGAAAGAUUAGGACAACAUGUAUAUCUUGUGGCAAAUGGUACUUGCAUGUAAUAAAGGCUCUGUUGACUGAAA
This is a long non-coding RNA of Pipistrellus kuhlii (Kuhl's pipistrelle), 1393 nucleotides long. RefSeq lists it as uncharacterized. Lineage: Eukaryota; Metazoa; Chordata; Mammalia; Chiroptera; Vespertilionidae. The record is from RefSeq and is a predicted model, not a curated record. The transcript is spliced from 3 exons.